This 668-nucleotide long non-coding RNA is filed under the name Olea europaea subsp. europaea. Lineage: Eukaryota; Viridiplantae; Streptophyta; Magnoliopsida; Lamiales; Oleaceae. The record is from RNAcentral.
CUCCCUCAAACUCUCCUGUUGGGAGAACUUGCAAUGUUCUGAUUCUUGUCUUGCUUGAUUGAGAAAGCAAGCUAGUUGGUGGAUGAGCAGUGGUGUAAAAUGGCAUGCGUAAAUGUCGCUAUAAUAGUUUGGUGCCAACGAAGCUGGUUCAGUAACAUUUUAUUGGUGCAAAUGGUCCUUGUUACAGCAGUGUAGAGCAGUUAAAGCCUGUUAAGAUAAGAAGGUGCAACUGGUUCGCAGAUCUUACAUAUUCUGGACAAGUUUUUGUUGCGCGAUAGCCAUGUAGGACAAUUUGAACCCUACAGUUUUUAAAGGGACUUUUUUACGUAGUAUUAAAUAGAACCAGUCUAAGACAAUACAAAGGAUGCGAGAAGGAUAAGAUUUUGGCUUCCUUUUCUCUACUAUGAAUGCUAUUAAAGGUUUUUUAUAUAAAUAGCGGAAAUGGUUAACAGGUUGACUUUUGAGUGGCAAAUACUUGACCAGCUGAACAAUCAUUUGACAAUGGAGAUCACUGCCACAUUAUCCAUAGCAUAAAAAUGCAUUGGAAGUUCAUUGAAGAAUGUAGCAAUGACUCCACUGCGACAUAGAAUGACAAUAUCUAAACUCUAAAUAAAUAGCAUUAUUCAGUCAAGCCACAAAAUGAGCCUUACAAUAUAGGGAUGUUAAUA